GACGAACGCUGGCGGCGUGCUUAACACAUGCGAGUCGAACGGAAAGGCCCUGCUUUUGUGGGGUGCUCGAGUGGCGAACGGGUGAGUAACACGUGAGUAACCUGCCCUUGACUUUGGGAUAACUUCAGGAAACUGGGGCUAAUACCGGAUAGGAGCUCAUGCUGCAUGGUGGGGGUUGGAAAUUUUCGGCGGUUGGGGAUGGACUCGCGGCUUAUCAGCUUGUUGGUGGGGUAGUGGCUUACCCAGGCUUUGACGGGUAGCCGGCCUGAGAGGGUGACCGGCCACAUUGGGACUGAGAUACGGACCAGACUCCUACGGGAGGCAGCAGUGGGGAAUAUUGCACAAUGGGCGGAAGCCUGAUGCAGCAACGCCGCGUGCGGGAUGACGGCCUUCGGGUUGUAAACCGCUUUCGCCUGUGACGAAGCGUGAGUGACGGUAAUGGGUAAAGAAGCACCGGCUAACUACGUG
Molecule: ribosomal RNA, 468 nt
Filed under: uncultured bacterium
Lineage: Bacteria
Description: partial 16S ribosomal RNA
Rfam family: Bacterial small subunit ribosomal RNA
Source: RNAcentral